Molecule: ribosomal RNA, 883 nt
Filed under: Amyloporia xantha
Lineage: Eukaryota; Fungi; Basidiomycota; Agaricomycetes; Polyporales; Adustoporiaceae
Description: LSU rRNA
Rfam family: Eukaryotic large subunit ribosomal RNA
Source: RNAcentral
UAACAAGGAUUCCCCUAGUAACUGCGAGUGAAGCGGGAAAAGCUCAAAUUUAAAAUCUGGUGGUCUUUGGCCAUCCGAGUUGUAGUCUGGAGAAGUGCUUUCCGCGUUGGACCGUGUACAAGUCUCUUGGAACAGAGCGUCAUAGAGGGUGAGAAUCCCGUCUUUGACACGGACUACCAAUGCUUUGUGAUGCGCUCUCAAAGAGUCGAGUUGUUUGGGAAUGCAGCUCAAAAUGGGUGGUAAAUUCCAUCUAAAGCUAAAUAUUGGCGAGAGACCGAUAGCGAACAAGUACCGUGAGGGAAAGAUGAAAAGCACUUUGGAAAGAGAGUUAAACAGUACGUGAAAUUGCUGAAAGGGAAACGCUUGAAGUCAGUCGCGUUGGCCGGAACUCAGCCUUGCUUUUGCUAGGUGCACUUUCUGGUUGACGGGCCAGCAUCAAUUUUGAUUGUUGGAUAAAGGUUGGGGGAAUGUGGCACCUUCGGGUGUGUUAUAGCCCUCAGUCACAUACAACAGUUGGGAUUGAGGAUCUCAGCACGCCUUUAUGGCCGGGGUUCGCCCACGUUCGUGCUUAGGAUGCUGGCAUAAUGGCUUUAAACGACCCGUCUUGAAACACGGACCAAGGAGUCUAACAUGCCUGCGAGUGUUUGGGUGGAAAACCCGAGCGCGUAAUGAAAGUGAAAGUUGGGAUCUCUGUCAUGGAGAGCACCGACGCCCGGACCUGACCUUCUGUGACGGCUCCGCGGUAGAGCAUGUAUGUUGGGACCCGAAAGAUGGUGAACUAUGCCUGAAUAGGGUGAAGCCAGAGGAAACUCUGGUGGAGGCUCGUAGCGAUUCUGACGUGCAAAUCGAUCGUCAAAUUUGGGUAUAGGGGCGAAAGACUAAU